This 509-nucleotide unclassified non-coding RNA is filed under the name Hevea brasiliensis (rubber tree). Lineage: Eukaryota; Viridiplantae; Streptophyta; Magnoliopsida; Malpighiales; Euphorbiaceae. The record is from RNAcentral.
AGAGAGUCCACUGAAUUAAGCCUAACGAUGUUACUUGACUUAGUUGGGUUGACUUCUGGUAAACAAACAUUGACAAGAAGUAUUAGACCAAAAACUCCAUCUUUCUGUUUCAAUUCCUCCAUUUUUUUUUCUUACUUAUGUGCGCAGAGAAAUAGAGAAUUGACAGGACAAACAAAUGUCAAACUGAAAAUAAGUUUACAAGCAGGAAAAACAAAGCAAUCGUCAAUAGAGCUUAACACAAAAGCAACUUCUUUUUUCCAUUCGUAAAAAAAGGUAAAGGUAAAUAACAGAACAUUGACUCUUAGCUACUCAUUGGAGUUUAACAAUCUGGAUUAGCUAAAAGUUCCACUUUUCAGAUACAAGUCCAGCUAAACAAUAUUAAAAAUCAUAAGAAAGAAAAAACCAGCAAUAAGAUUCAAAAUUUACAAACUUUAUCUGCACUACCACAGAACCCAGAAACACAAACCUAUCAAAGUAAUAAACGCAAAGGCACCAAAGGAAAAAUACCA